Molecule: long non-coding RNA, 1459 nt
Filed under: Papio anubis (olive baboon)
Lineage: Eukaryota; Metazoa; Chordata; Mammalia; Primates; Cercopithecidae
Description: lncRNA (ENSPANG00000046565.1)
Source: RNAcentral
CAUGGUGGCAGGUGCCUGUAGUCCCAGCUACUCAGGAGGCUGAAGCAGAAGAAUCGCUUGAACCCAGGAGGCAGAGGUGGCAGUGAGCCGAGACUAACCCCCUGCACUGCAGCCUGGGGUACAGAAUGAGACUUCAUCUCAAAAAAAAAAAACACAACAACAAAAACCGCCAGGCACAGUGGCUCACGCCUGUGAUCCCAGCACUUCAGGAGGCGGAGGCGGGCGGAUCAUGAGAUCAGGAGAUCAAGACCAUCCUGGCCAACAAGGUGAAACCCUGUCUCUACCAAAAAUACAAAAAAAAAUCAGCUGGGUGUGGUGGCACAUACCGUAAUCCCAGCUACUAGGGAGGCUGCGGCAGGAGAAUCGCUUGAACCUGGGAGGCAGAGGGUGCAGGGAGCCGAGAUUGUGCCACUGUACUCCAGCCUGGUGACAGAGCUAGACUCUGUCUCAAAAAAAAAAAAAAAAAAAAAUCAACUUUAUCGAGGGGUAUAAUCCACAUUACAAAUAAAGGUUCACAUUCUGGCCGGGCGCCGUGGCUCACGCCUGUAAUCCCAGCACUUUGGGAGGCCGAGGCGGGCAGAUCACGAGGUCAGGAGUUGGAGACCAGCCUAGGCGAUGUGGCAAGAACCUGUCUCUGCACAAAACAGAGAACUAGCCAGGAAUGGCGGGGGGUGUGUCUGUAGUCCUAGCUACUCUGGAGGCUGAGAUGGGGGAAAUCACUUGAGUCUGGGAGGUGGAGGCUGCAGUGAGCUGUGAUCUUGCCGCUGCACUCCAGCCUGGGCAACAGAGUGAGACCCUGUCUCAAAAAAAAAAAAAAAAAGUGGAAAGAUCCAAACCCUCAGCUAUAUUUUUCUGCAAUGGAAUAUUAUGCAGCAGUAAAAAAAUGCAUGGGCCAGGUGGGGUGGCUCACGGCCGGGCAUGGUGACUCAUGCCUGUAAUCCCAGCACUUUGAUAGGCUGAGGUGGGUGGAUCAUUUGAGGUCAGGAGUAUGAGACCAGCUUGACCAACAUGGUGAAACCCUGUCUCUACUAAAAAUACAAAAAUUAGCCGGGCAUGGUGGUGCGUGCCUGUAAUCCCAGGUACUCAGGAGGCUGAGUCAGGAGAAUUGCUUGAACCUGGGAGGCGAAGGUUGCAGUGAGCUGAGAACAUGCCACUGUACUCCAGCCUGGCGACAGAACGAGAUUCCGUCUCAGUAAAUAAAUAAAUAAAUAAACGGAUGGCGGCUUCCUGCACCCACAGGAUGCUUCCGAGGUGACACCACGCUGAGUGGGAAAAAGUGAACUCAGGAGAUGGCAGCGGGUGUGACAUCCUCUUUACGAAGUUAAAAACAAUCAAAAACUAAACACGACACUGUGAUGCACCUGUGAUGGAUACGUGUGGCAUGUCCCUAGGGCUAAACCUUCAACACAGGAAGGCAAGGGAUGGCAGCACAAAUCAAGACAGUGGCCGCCUGGGGAGG